Non-coding RNA from Ornithorhynchus anatinus (platypus), 72 nucleotides. The record is from Rfam. NCBI's taxonomy places the organism in Eukaryota, Metazoa, Chordata, Mammalia, Monotremata, Ornithorhynchidae.
AGCGGCGUGGCUUAGUGGCAAGAGCCCGGGCUUGGGCGUCGGUGGUCGUGGGUUCUAAUCCCGGCUCCGCCG